RNAcentral lists this ribosomal RNA (473 nucleotides) under uncultured organism. Its description in RNAcentral is "partial 16S ribosomal RNA". It matches the Rfam family "Bacterial small subunit ribosomal RNA", at positions 334 to 798 of the family's 1533-position model. The record is from RNAcentral.
CACUCCUACGGGAGGCAGCAGUGGGGAAUAUUGCACAAUGGGCGCAAGCCUGAUGCAGCCAUGCCGCGUGUAUGAAGAAGGCCUUCGGGUUGUAAAGUACUUUCAGCGGGGAGGAAGGCGAUAAGGUUAAUAACCUUGUUGAUUGACGUUACCCGCAGAAGAAGCACCGGCUAACUCCGUGCCAGCAGCCGCGGUAAUACGGAGGGUGCAAGCGUUAAUCGGAAUUACUGGGCGUAAAGCGCACGCAGGCGGUCUGUCAAGUCGGAUGUGAAAUCCCCGGGCUCAACCUGGGAACGGCAUUCGAAACUGGCAGGCUAGAGUCUUGUAGAGGGGGGUAGAAUUCCAGGUGUAGCGGUGAAAUGCGUAGAGAUCUGGAGGAAUACCGGUGGCGAAGGCGGCCCCCUGGACAAAGACUGACGCUCAGGUGCGAAAGCGUGGGGAGCAAACAGGAUUAGAAACCCCGGUAGUCCCAU